CCUACGGGGGGCAGCAGUGGGGAAUAUUGCACAAUGGGGGAAACCCUGAUGCAGCGACGCCGCGUGAGUGAAGAAGUAAUUCGUUACGUAAAGCUCUAUCAGCAGGGAAGAAAAUGACGGUACCUGAGUAAGAAGCCCCGGCUAACUACGUGCCAGCAGCCGCGGUAAUACGUAGGGGGCAAGCGUUAUCCGGAUUUAUUGGGUUUAAAGGGAGCGUAGGCGGGUCUUUAAGCGUGCCGUGAAAUUUUGUGGCUCAACCAUGGGAGUGCGGCGCGAACUGGGGACCUUGAGUGCGCGGAAGGCAGGCGGAACUCGUGGUGUAGCGGUGAAAUGCUUAGAUAUCACGAAGAACCCCGAUGGCGAAGGCAGCCUGCCGCAGCGUUACUGACGCUGAGGCUCGAAGGCGCGGGUAUCGAACAGGAUUAGAUACCUUUGUAGUC
RNAcentral lists this ribosomal RNA (440 nucleotides) under uncultured bacterium. RNAcentral describes it as "partial 16S ribosomal RNA". It matches the Rfam family "Bacterial small subunit ribosomal RNA", at positions 338 to 795 of the family's 1533-position model. The record is from RNAcentral.